CCUACGGGAGGCAGCAGUGAGGAAUAUUGGUCAAUGGGCGCGAGCCUGAACCAGCCAAGUAGCGUGAAGGAUGACUGCCCUACGGGUUGUAAACUUCUUUUAUAACGGAAUAAAGAGAGGCACGUGUGCCUUUUUGUAUGUACUUUAUGAAUAAGGAUCGGCUAACUCCGUGCCAGCAGCCGCGGUAAUACGGAGGAUCCGAGCGUUAUCCGGAUUUAUUGGGUUUAAAGGGAGCGUAGAUGGGUUGUUAAGUCAGUUGUGAAAGUUGGCGGCUCAACCGUAAAAUUGCAAUUGAUACUGGCUGUCUUGAGUACAGUAGUGGUAGGCAGAAUUCGUGGUGUAGCGGUGAAAUGCUUAGAGAUCACGAGGAACUCCGAUUGCGAAGGCAGCUUACUAAACUGCCACUGACAUUGAUGCUCGAAAGUGUGGGUAUCAAACAGGAUUAGAUACCCGGGUAGUC
This 460-nucleotide ribosomal RNA is filed under the name uncultured bacterium. RNAcentral's name for it is "partial 16S ribosomal RNA". It matches the Rfam family "Bacterial small subunit ribosomal RNA", at positions 338 to 795 of the family's 1533-position model. The record is from RNAcentral.